GUAGGUGGCAAGCGUUGUCCGGAAUUAUUGGGCGUAAAGCGCGCGCAGGCGGUUCUUUAAGUCUGAUGUGAAAGCCCACGGGCUCAACCGUGGAGGGUCAUUGGAAACUGGAGAACUUGAGUACAGAAGAGGAAAGCGGAAUUCCACGUGUAGCGGUGAAAUGCGUAGAGAUGUGGAGGAACACCAGUGGCGAAGGCGGCUUUCUGGUCUGUAACUGACGCUGAGGCGCGAAAGCGUGGGGAGCAAACAGGAUUAGAUACCUCGGUAGUCCACGCCGUAAACGAUGAGUGCUAAGUGUUAGGGGGUUUCCGGUCCCCUUACGUUGCUGCAGCUAACGCAUUAAGCACUCCGCCUCGGGGAGGUACGGCCGCAAGGCUG
This 378-nucleotide ribosomal RNA is filed under the name uncultured organism. RNAcentral describes it as "partial 16S ribosomal RNA". It matches the Rfam family "Bacterial small subunit ribosomal RNA", at positions 527 to 896 of the family's 1533-position model. The record is from RNAcentral.